CUUUUUUUCCCUUUUCUUCUUCCUCCCGUGCGCCGCGACCCUCCUUCCCCUUCUCUCCGUUCGUGCAGCAACCGCCCUAACCGUCCUCUUCUCCUUCCGUUCGUGCCCAGCCGCAGCCCAGCCGCAAUCACCACCUCUAUCUUCUUCUUCCCGUCCCGCCGCAGCCAACUGCAGCCAGCCGCCGAUCCUUUCCUUCCAUUUUCUUCUUCCGUCCGCAGCCCUGCCGCGAAGCAAGACCACGCCGCUGCCAGUCCAGAUCUGCGGCGCCGUUGCUCUUCCGCCGCUGCCCAACCGUCUCAGCCGGUUCUGUCUCUGUCGAAGCCACGGUUCUGCAACCGUCUCCGCCGUCUCUAUCUCCGUCCGCGAGGCAAGUCGCACGCCUCAGUCACGAACAGCCUCGCCGACGCAGGUCACGCCGUAUCGCACGAAUUCGGCUACGUUGCCGGGCUACUCCCAUCCGCGCGUAACUGCUGUUGAACGUCCGAACCGUUCUGCCUUCGUCGAUACCCACCGUCGCGGACCAGUUCGCGUGCAAAAGUGUUUUGCACGAUGUCUUUUGUGUAGAUCCUGCGGCAACUUCUAUUUAACGUCGAUUGUCAAAGUCUUGUUACAAGAUAUUGGCGACAUCGGUGAUUUGGAGUUAGUGUCCUUGAGUUACGCCUUAAGCUUUGUUGGAGUUCGAUUCUUUACUCUUGGGGUUUGUUUGUUGAAGUUAGUUCGACUAAGGAAUUUUACAUAAAGAUCCAGGCAAAGGUAAUAAAGGCGGCAAACAGGCGAGGGGCAGGAAGGAAACGUGAUGCCAUAGGAAACGUGUUUUUGCUUCUGCUUAUGGGUUCUUGAGAGGUUUAAAAUGGAUUGAAAUUUAGUUUACAAACGUUUGUUGUAAAUAGUAUUAUUUUAUGAAUGUUUAAAAAUCAGGCCUGACUUGAA
This is an RNA transcript of Cucumis sativus (cucumber), 930 nucleotides long. RefSeq lists it as uncharacterized. The record is from RefSeq and is a predicted model, not a curated record. The transcript is spliced from 3 exons. Lineage: Eukaryota; Viridiplantae; Streptophyta; Magnoliopsida; Cucurbitales; Cucurbitaceae.